ACCGGGCAAAAGUCGUAACAAGGUUUCCGUAGGUGAACCUGCGGAAGGAUCAUUAU
RNAcentral lists this ribosomal RNA (56 nucleotides) under Steinernema arenarium. RNAcentral's name for it is "partial 18S ribosomal RNA". It matches the Rfam family "Eukaryotic small subunit ribosomal RNA", at positions 1777 to 1831 of the family's 1831-position model. The record is from RNAcentral. Lineage: Eukaryota; Metazoa; Nematoda; Chromadorea; Rhabditida; Steinernematidae.